AUUGAACGCUGGCGGCAUGCCUUACACAUGCAAGUCGAACGGCAGCACGGGGGCAACCCUGGUGGCGAGUGGCGAACGGGUGAGUAAUACAUCGGAAUGUACCCAGUAGUGGGGGAUAACUAGUCGAAAGAUUAGCUAAUACCGCAUACGCACUAUGGUGGAAAGCGGGGGAUCGCAAGACCUCGCGCUAUUGGAGCAGCCGAUGUCCGAUUAGGUAGUUGGUGGGGUAAAAGCCUACCAAGCCUGCGAUCGGUAACUGGUCUGAGAGGACGACCAGUCACACUGGGACUGAGACACGGCCCAGACUCCUACGGGAGGCAGCAGUGGGGAAUUUUGGACAAUGGGCGAAAGCCUGAUCCAGCCAUGCCGCGUGCAGGAUGAAGGCCUUCGGGUUGUAAACUGCUUUGUACGGAACGAAAGAACUCCUUCUAAUAAAGGGGUCCGAUGACGGUACCGUAAGAAUAAGCACCGGCUAACUACGUG
This 483-nucleotide ribosomal RNA is filed under the name uncultured bacterium. RNAcentral's name for it is "bacterial SSU rRNA". It matches the Rfam family "Bacterial small subunit ribosomal RNA", at positions 30 to 507 of the family's 1533-position model. The record is from RNAcentral.